Molecule: long non-coding RNA, 1114 nt
Organism: Homo sapiens (human)
Lineage: Eukaryota; Metazoa; Chordata; Mammalia; Primates; Hominidae
Gene: PVT1
Product: Pvt1 oncogene
Source: Ensembl
AUAGCCAUCCCCUAAGAAGAGGGCAUUCCUGCUCUUCCUUCUCCAUGGCUAGAGGAUCUACAUGAACUAUUUAGAUUUUUUCUACCUGGGAGAUUUAACUCCUCUCUCCUAUUUAUUUAUUUAUAUAUCAGCAUGGACUUGCAGGCCAACAGAGAUUUUGAGAAACACAUUGAAGGAUCUGUUAACACUUGAUAUACCCAAUAAAAGCAGUGGUUGUGCCAGUGCUGAUCUGUCUUGAUGUGAAUGUGAACAAUGGGAACCUGAGCUGAGCAGUUAAUGCUAGGGUGACAGAAACUGGACCUCUCCCAAGACAUGUGACAGAGUAAUACAGCAGCCAACUUCUUCGCCAAAUUAAAGUUUUACAAGAUUUAACCUGUCAUCAAGACCUGGGAUUUUGGUGAGCCAGUCUUGGUGCUCUGUGUUCACCUGGUUCAUCUGAGGAGCUGCAUCUACCCUGCCCAUGCCAUAGAUCCUGCCCUGUUUGCUUCUCCUGUUGCUGCUAGUGGACAUGAGGUAACCACAGCCUAGUUCUGUGAUAAGCUCUUCACACCUGUACCCAUAUGGACUGUGGGAGAGUUUCUCUGAUAUGGACUGUGAUGCGGGUGAGUCAUAGUGCACACUCACACUUAAUUUCACAAGUACUGCCAGAUUGUGUUCCAGAAUGACUGUACCAGUUUACACUUCCACAGGCAGUGCUCAAGAUUUCUGUUUCCCUCUGUCCUCGCCAGCACCUGGUAUUGGCAGAUGCAUCAAAAAGGAUGCAUUUGACAGCUCAACCACCUCAGAGCACUUGAUUAGCAUCCCUGUGAUGGCCCUUUCUGCUGCAGACAUCACUUUGUCAUAACAGCAUUUUGAGCAGGAAGAAGCAUCAGGCAGGAAAAAAGGGGCCCUUUUACUGUGACUCCCUAUCUUCUGUUAGGGAAGAAAAUUUUCCCCAGAAAUCCCCAGUAGACUUCCCCUAUGUCUCAGUGGCCAAACUGGGCCAGGUAAGCUCCCAGCCAGUCCCUGACAGAGAUAACAAGAUUGUCAUGGCUGUUUCAAGCCAGGGCCAAUUCUUCCCCCUGCCAUGGACUUUUUUUGAGCACAUUGCUAUCUCCCUUGUCCCUGAAUAGAA